AUGGCUGGUGAAGGCAGCAGUUCUUCAGACUAUGAACUUUUUGAUGUGGAUGAAGAUGACGAUGAUCUAAUGUUGAUACCAGAGCAUGCACAAUGUAUUAUGGAUGAUCCAAUGCUGGUAGGUAAAAAGGACAACCACAUAGACCGGCAGCAGAAGCAGAAGCAGAUACUCGAGAAACUCAGGACGAUGGAGGAGAAGGUGAGGAUGGCGAUUCCUGAACGGCCCGCGAAGCCGCCAACCAUCUGCGUUGUCCCUGUGGACCUCACCGAGGGCAACAGGGGCGCCUACAGCCCCAAGGUCGUCUGCAUCGGCCCGAUCUUCGACAGCAAGCGCAAAACGGACAGCAUGCUCAGGCUCGAGCAUUACAAGUGGCGCUGCGUCCGCAAGCUCAUCAUUGAGCGCCACCCAGGCGGAACCUUGGAGUCGGAUGACUGGUCGCUGGAGGUACACACACCGCUGCUACGGAAGUGCACCAGCAUGAUGAUGCGCCUCGUGCCCCAAGUUCGUGCCUCCUACAGCAGCCUUUCUUUCUACGAGGAUACCAACGGUGACAACACGAGCAAUGAAGAGCUGGCGAUCAAGAUGCUGCUCGACGGAUGCUUCGUCCUCCACCGCCUGCUCAAGUACGGACGUGAAGCUAAUGGUGGCAUGGACGACGAUGAUUGGAACCAGCGUCUCGGUCGGUGCUGGGUCUGGGCAACCGUGAAGAGUGACCUACUACUGCUCAACAACCAGGUUCCUUUCUUCGUCGUUCGGAAACUGUUAAAACUCCUGAGGAGCAACAUUGACGAGAGCGAUGACAUCCUUGUCAAUGGCGGCCUCCAGUUCUUCAGCUCCCUGCAUCCUCCACGGCUCCACUCCGCUCCCAUCGCUUGCCACGACGUGCAUCACCUCCUCCACCUAUUCUACCUAUCCAUCGACCUCCCGCUGUCGUGUUCGCACCAGGACUCCGCCUGCAAGAACGCCGCACUGCCAACAGGGCAAACGUGGUGGGUGCCAUGCGCCAAGGAGCUGGAGGAGGCCGGUGUUCGGCUCUGUGCACGUAAGCAUGGUGCCGCGAGCUUCCUCGACGUGAGGUUCCACCAAGGCAAUCUAGAGAUCCCACCGCUCCAGCUAUUCGACUACAGCGAACCCCUGUUCCGCAACCUAAUCGCGUUCGAGCAGACCUACCCGGCAACGCCGGGCCGCAUCACCGAAUACGCAAUCUUCAUGGACUGCCUCGUCAAGACGAGCGAGGACCUGCGCCUCCUUCACCGGAGCGGGGUGCUCGUGAACUACAUGAACGGCGAGAGGGGCGACGCCGCCAUGCAGUUCUUCAACCGCCUCUGCGCGGGGGUGCACACCUCUGCCGGCCGCAACUACCUUGCUGGCGUGCUGGAGGAGGUCUCCAGGUACCAGAGAGGAAAGUGGCCCCGUUGGCGUGCCGCUCUAGUGAGCAACUAUUUCACCAACCCAUGGGUGACAGCGUCGGUUUUCGCCGCGGCGAUCUUGCUCGCCAUGACUGUGCUGCAGACCUUCUACACUGUCGUUGGGUACUACAAGCCAUCCAAGUAA
Molecule: ribosomal RNA, 1554 nt
Filed under: Triticum aestivum (bread wheat)
Lineage: Eukaryota; Viridiplantae; Streptophyta; Magnoliopsida; Poales; Poaceae
Description: partial small subunit ribosomal RNA
Source: RNAcentral